This 207-nucleotide ribosomal RNA is filed under the name uncultured bacterium. RNAcentral describes it as "partial 16S ribosomal RNA". It matches the Rfam family "Bacterial small subunit ribosomal RNA", at positions 568 to 774 of the family's 1533-position model. The record is from RNAcentral.
CGCGUAGGCGGCUUUUCAAGUCAGGGGUGAAAUCCCGAGGCUCAACCUCGGAACUGCCCUUGAAACUGGAUGGCUAGAAUAUUGGAGAGGUAAGUGGAAUUCCGAGUGUAGAGGUGAAAUUCGUAGAUAUUCGGAAGAACACCAGUGGCGAAGGCGACUUACUGGACAAUUAUUGACGCUGAGGUGCGAAAGCGUGGGGAGCAAACA